This 1231-nucleotide ribosomal RNA is filed under the name metagenome. RNAcentral describes it as "bacterial LSU rRNA". It matches the Rfam family "Bacterial large subunit ribosomal RNA", at positions 1710 to 2925 of the family's 2925-position model. The record is from RNAcentral.
GAACUCCGCAAAUUGACACCGUAACUUCGGGAGAAGGUGUGCCGCUGGCGGUUAGUGACUUCGCGUCACGAAGCUGUCGGUGGUCGCAGUGAAAUGGCGGUUGUGACUGUUUACUAAAAACACAGGACUCUGCGAAGUCGUAAGACGACGUAUAGGGUCUAUGCCUGCCCGGUGCUGGAAGGUUAAGGGGAUAUGUCAGCGCAAGCGAAGCAUUGAACCGAAGCCCCAGUAAACGGCGGCCGUAACAAUAACGGUCCUAAGGUAGCGAAAUUCCUUGUCGGGUAAGUUCCGACCUGCACGAGGGCAUAACAACAUCCGCACUGUCUCGACCAGGGACUCAGCGAAAUUACAUUGGGGGUGAAGAUGCCCUCUACCCGCGGAAAGACGGAAAGACCCCAUGAACCUUUACUGCAACUUGGCAGUGAUUUUCGGGUUGUUCUGCGUAGGAUAGGUGGGAGGCUUUGAAGCCGGGCUUCCGGGUUCGGCAGAGCCAACGUUGAAAUACCACCCUGAAUAAUCUGGAAAUCUAACCUGCGCCCAUGAUCUGGGCGAGGGACACUGCCUGGUGGGCAGUUUGACUGGGGCGGUCGCCUCCUAAAUUGUAACGGAGGCGUGCGACGGUUCCCUCAGGCUGAUUGGAAACCAGCCGUAGAGUGCAAACGCAUAAGGGAGCUUUACUGCGAGACUGACAAGUCGAACAGUUGCGAAAGCAGGUGUUAGUGAUCCGGUGGUACCACAUGGAAGGGCCAUCGCUCAUCGGAUAAAAGGUACUCUGGGGAUAACAGGCUGAUCGCGCCUGAGAGUUCACAUCGGCGGCGCGGUUUGGCACCUCGAUGUCGGCUCAUCGCAUCCUGGGGCUGGAGCAGGUCCCAAGGGUUUGUCUGUUCGCCAAUUAAAGCGGUACGCGAGCUGGGUUUAAAACGUCGUGAGACAGUUUGGUCCCUAUCUUCCGUGGGCGCAGGACACUUGAGAGGAGCUAUCCAUAGUACGAGAGGACCUGAAUGGACGAACCUCUGGUGCUCCGGUUGUCACGCCAGUGGCAUAGCCGGGUAGCCAUGUUCGGAACAGAUAACCGCUGAAGGCAUAUAAGCGGGAAGCUGGCCUCAAGACUAGGUGUCCCUGACGCAAGUCACUAAAGGCCCCUCGAAGACUACGAGGUUGAUAGGCUCGGUGUGGAAGCGCUGCGAGGCGUGGAGCUAACGAGUACUAAUAGGCCGUGCGACUUGACCCC